Molecule: long non-coding RNA, 548 nt
Organism: Danio aesculapii
Lineage: Eukaryota; Metazoa; Chordata; Actinopteri; Cypriniformes; Danionidae
Exons: 3
Source: RefSeq, a predicted model, not a curated record
UUGAUUUUCAGAUUCAAGUUUAAUCUAAGCCUAAUCUACAUUUUGGUGACUGAAUUUAAAUUUAUGAGCAGUCAAUCCUUAGGGAACAAAUGAAAAGGCUGUUCUUAAGACCAAUGAGUGUGUUUGUUUUGCAGGAGAGCAACUGAGUGAUCCUUCUGCGUUACCUGUCAUCAUUUGAAUGAUCUCCUGAUUCUGGCCAGUGAUGACAGAACUUGAGCCCAUCUGCAACACACUAAAGUAAACUACCAGAUACUGACCAGUUUGAGCGAGGUGACGCUUGUGGCUGACAGAGGAAGAUUCUACAACACACUGAAAUAAACUACCAGAUACUGACCAGAGUGAGGUGACGCUGGUGGCUGACAGAGGUACAUGGACAAUGGACAUGUGUCUUCAUAAUAAGAGUCUUCUGGAAAUCACAACAGGCAACUCAAUGUUGGAAGGCAGAAUUGGUUUGUUAUCAUAACAAAAACUCUCCAGGCAGAAGCGAUGCUCAAGUCAACCCACAUUUAAAAAGUGUUCAAUUAUUACUGUAUUUAAGUGCUAGUACC